This 465-nucleotide ribosomal RNA is filed under the name Paguristes grayi. RNAcentral describes it as "partial large subunit ribosomal RNA". The record is from RNAcentral. Lineage: Eukaryota; Metazoa; Arthropoda; Malacostraca; Decapoda; Diogenidae.
CUGAUAUAAAUUAAAGGGCCGCGGUAUUCCUGACCGUGCAAAGGUAGCAUAAUCAUUAGUCUUUUAAUUGGAGGCUCGUAUGAAUGAUUGGACGAAAAAUAAUCUGCAUCUUAGUUGAAAUCUGAAUUCAACAUUUAAGUGAAAAGUCUUAAAUUUGGUAAAAAGAGGAUAAGACCCUAUAAAUCUUUACACUACUUAAAAUUUGAAGCCAAUUGUAAGUAAAAUGUUAUUARAUUUGUUUAUAGUGCUUAKUUGGGGCAACAUGGAUAGCAAAAUUUGUCUGUCUAUAAAAAUUACUAAAAAUCUUUGAGUACAAGUACAAGAUCCUUUUUAGAAAUUACAAGAUCAAGUUACUUUAGGGAUAACAGCAUUAUUUUACUUGAGAGUUCAUAUCGAACGUAAAGUUUGUGACCGCAAUGUCCAAUAAAAAUGUCUUUAUGGUGCAGCAGCUAUAAAAGAGAGUUU